This 277-nucleotide ribosomal RNA is filed under the name uncultured prokaryote. RNAcentral's name for it is "partial 16S ribosomal RNA". It matches the Rfam family "Bacterial small subunit ribosomal RNA", at positions 524 to 801 of the family's 1533-position model. The record is from RNAcentral.
UACGUAGGUGGCAAGCGUUGUCCGGAUUUAUUGGGCGUAAAGGGUGCGUAGGUGGUUUCUUAAGUCAGAGGUGAAAGGCUACGGCUCAACCGUAGUAAGCCUUUGAAACUGGGAAACUUGAGUGCAGGAGAGGAGAGUGGAAUUCCUAGUGUAGCGGUGAAAUGCGUAGAUAUUAGGAGGAACACCGGUGGCGAAGGCGGCUUUCUGGCUGACAACUGACGCUGAGGCGCGAAAGCGUGGGGAGCAAACAGGAUUAGAUACCCCUGUAGUCCCUGAG